CCAUCACCAUGCUGGGGAAGAGGAGGAGGAGGGAAGGACAGGAUUGCAGGGCGGCAGGAAGCUCGUGGUGCAUGGCCAUGAGUCGCACGAUGCCGGGUGAAGGUGGGGUGUGAGUGGGUGUUUGUGUGGGGCUGGGGUUGUGGGGGGCAGUGGGGAGCCUUGAGGGGGUUGAGGGUGCAGGGCAGAGAGCUGGUGCUGCUGUGUGUCCUCCUGGCUGCCCGGGGUGCAGGAGCAAUGUGGGAGCCAUUCCCAAGGCAGGAACAGCGUGGCAUCACCGCUGCACUGGCACUGGCACUGAAGUGACUGCAAAAGGGUCCCCAAGCACCAAACCUGGCCUGUGCUGGGGGAAGGAGCUGGUACCGAAGGCAAACAGAUGCUGGCAGUCCCAAAUCUCACAGCACCCCGGUUCCUGCUGCUCUGCACCCCUGAAGGACCCUGGCUGUGCCUGGGGAUGUCCACUCUGCACCAACCCCAGCAGGACAAACCUCCCUCAGCACCCAUCACCUGCAGGAGCCAGGGCAGGGAUCCCAGCUUUGAGGGCAUCAGCAUCUCCCUGGGAGUGAUGAGGAGUGAGCUCUGAGCAGGGGGAGCAGCUCUGCCCAUUCCUGCAUUGGAUAUCGGGAUUAAACACAGCGGCCUGCUGCAGUCUGGUCCCCAAAAUGUUCAGGGAAGGAUCCUCCUGGAUGGCACCACCGCAGCCUUUCCAGCCCCCGUCAUUGCCCAGAGGACGAAGCCGUGCGCCCGCCCCGCGCUGCCCAGCGCAGGGCCAGGAGGGCAGGAACGCUCCCCGUGUCACGGGAUGAUCCCCCCAUCUCCCCCUCUCCCUCGUUUUCCUCCGUAUUUCACAGUUCCUGCUUCCUGCACAAGGCAGGGGUCUCCAGGGACUCCAGCCAGAUGUUCUCUGCAGCACACCACAUUGCUUUCCUAAUGAAAUAUUCAUGGAGCCUCUCCGCCUCUUGCCAUGAAAGCCUUCUGCAGCUCCCAGCCAUGGAAACGCUGCGCAGGCAGCAUUCCUGCAAAGCUCCCGGCCCCCUGCUUCCCGCUCGGCUCCUCCACCUUCCUCUUCCUCCUCCCACCAGCGGGGGCUUUGUCCGCUCUCGCCUUGCAGGAGCACUGAGAGGUGGCAUCAGGCCAGAGGGAUGCAGGAGAUGCCAGCCAGUGACUGACCCAGCACACUGCCACCAUCCUCCCUCACAUCACCAGCUCUGGGUGUUCCAACAGCACCAGAACAUCCUGGACUGGCAGAAAAUCCCUGCAGCUCCAGCUCGAGUCAGUGUGAGGUGGCACAGGGGACAGCGCCGUGUCCCUGUGCCCGCCCAGGGAUGGGCACGGCGAGCAGGGGAGCAGGGCUGGCUCUGCA
RNAcentral lists this long non-coding RNA (1360 nucleotides) under Cyanistes caeruleus (blue tit). RNAcentral's name for it is "lncRNA (ENSCCEG00000006242.1)". The record is from RNAcentral. Lineage: Eukaryota; Metazoa; Chordata; Aves; Passeriformes; Paridae.